AAUUAUCGACAUAUGGAAACAGGAAGUUACAGUUUCCGUAUCUUUGUCAACAAAACAUUUGCGAAAGCCUGAAUAAGAACAUUACUCGCAGUAAGUUCAAUAGCUAGUUACAUGUUUCAGGGUUUUGUGAAUAUAAUGGGGAGAGAUAGGAACAAUAUGCUAUAUGGGCGAGUAUAUUGAAAACUGAUUAGAUAAUGUUGACUUGUUAUCUGAAGACUAGCUAGCAGAAGCCAUAUUGCAUGAUUGAUUUUAUUUAUUUUAUUAUGGUGUCAUGCAUCUUCUCACGGAUCCCCAGCCCACAUGAGCUUAUAAAACACUAUUUGCUGUAGCAAAGUAAAAUGAUAUAUACACACACAGUGCCUUCAGAAAGUACUCCUAACGUUACCCCUUGACUUAUUCCACAUUUUGUGUUACAGCCUGAAUUCAAAAUGAUUUCAAUUGUUCUCACCCAUCAACACAGAAUACUCCAUAAUGACAAAGUGAAAACAUGUUUUUAGAAAUGAACAAAUGUAUUCAAUUAAAUACAGAUAUCUAAUUUACAUAAGUAUUCCCACCCCGAGUCAACACAUGUUAGAAUCACCUUUGGCAGUGAUUACCGCUGUAAGUCUUUCUGGGUAAAUCUUUCUCUGCAGACAUGGAUUGUACAAUAUUUACACAUUUUUAAAUUCUUCAAACUUUUAAGUUGGUAAUUGCUAGACAGCCAUUUAAGUAUUGCCAUAUAUUUCCCAGCCGAUUUAAGUCCAAACUGUAAUACGGUUGAUGUCAACACCCCUCAUCAAAUAUUUUAAAAAGUGUUAAAAUAACGAGAUGUAUCUACUAAUCCAAAGAGGAACAGGCGGGAGCUUGACAGCUAAACAUGGAGGAGUCUUCUCUGCUUACAGAUGUGUGCCAUCAGGUAAGGAUGAGACAGACUCCGACGGGAAUGUGAUAUUCAAAGUGUCAGCAGAAUUGUGCUGUGGAUGCACAUUUCUCUCACUGACUUCGGUUCAGGUGGAGUCACGUAUUGCUGUGAUAUGACAGAGCCUCUGCUGGACACCAAUCUCAACCCUGAGCAAUUGGUAGUUUGUCAAAGGAGGGGGUUGGUUUUCCUCAUGACAGUGCUGAAGAAUGUCUGAGUUUUAUAAGCCUUACUUUUCACUAGGUGAUUCAUUUCUAGGUGAUUCAUUAUGUUUUUUAAACCCAUUUACAGGCAAAUCCAUAAAAUACAUCAAGAUCUAUUGGAGGACUAUUAGUGUCAAUGCCAAAUGAUAAUCAAACGUUUUGAGGUUACGCUUCAGUCCUUGGCCUAGGGAGAGAAGAAAAAUAUGCAAUAUCGCCUGUAUACUAAAAGUAACGUAAUAUGCAGGCUAAAUCUAUGUCCACAUUAAAAGCACUAGAGCGCAAAGAUUGAAUUCUAGUCAAUGGUGCGCAAACAUAUUCUCAAAUCGGGCAGAACGAGCCAGUGCAGCCCAGAGGCGUGUGCGCCAAAUGGAUUUGGUUCCUAUUAUCACUUGUAGGGCUGCACGCGCACCACCCUGAGCAGUCUGGGCAAGGCACAGAUCAUAUCUGCUAAAUAUGAUAGUGUGAUAAGAUAUUACCUGUCCAACUCUAAGGGCCGUAUUCAAUCAGCGCCCGGUUUCCCAAAAGCAUUUUAAGGCUAAGUAAAUCGUUAGAGCUUCGUUACAUCUCCGAGCUGUUUCCCAAAACAAUCGUUAAAUUAGCUAGCAAGUGCAAGCUAACUAGCUUGCAAGUGCAAGCUAACUAGCUAAAUUGCCAUAAACGUUUAAUGCUUUUCGACCUGUCCCCAAAUUAAUAUAAUUGGUUCAGAGUUUGUUUUGAUAUUUUAACCUGCGUUUGGUGUUGGGGAACAAAAUUAAUUCAUGCACGCGCGCAGCCGGUUUGGGUUCGGUGUAUAACGCUUGCCUCAGACUACCCAUAGAAGGGCAUCAGUGGAUGCUUUGUUGCCCUCCGGCAUCACAUAUACAUAUUUAGAUCUCCGCUAAACAUAACAUCACAUGGUUUAUUUGUCUCUCUGGACCACGGAUAACUUCAGAACAAAGUUGACAACAAAUAAAAAGUUGCCAAUGUCUUUGCAAUUGAUACAAACAAGCGAUGUAUAAAAUAUGCUUCAAAUGAAAACAGAAAUAAAAUAAACAGUAGUCUAUUUGCCUAUUUCAAUCAUAUUGAAAUACGUUUAAUGUUAAUUUACGUUAUAUUUUUCUACUUGUAGGCUGUCUGUAAUUUGUCUCAAUAUAUCUCAUGAUGUGUAGCUUAACAUAGUUAAAACAUUCCUAAGCCUAAAUUCCAAACUAUCGGGAAAUUGGGCUCGGGCCUGUCAACUGACCUGUAUCCUUACAGCGCUAAAAUACAUAUUUUUAGUCAGGAGCAAAGAGUUGGCCUCGGAUUGUGAGCUCAGGGAAGAGAACCGAAGAGCAACAUCAUUUUGAGCACUUAAGAGGGCACAGCAAAGUGCAGUGAGGAAGUCAGUACCAGAAGAUGAGUACAGCUCCACAGAGUCAGCAAGAAAAUGAGUAUGAGGACGUCUGUGUAAGUCAGUCAGCAUGAACAUUUAGCAUAAUUAUAUGAAGUGCAUAUGGAUGUAGACUUUUCACAGUAACGCUUAUAUAACCCAAACAUAUCUUGUUUAGUUAUGUUUAUUUGUAUUGUUAAUAGCUAUAUUAAUGAUGAACCUUUUUCCAUGUUCUCCACAGCUGAAAAAAAGUAAGAUAAAGAGAGAAACUGCUCUGAUUCUCCUCUGUCUCUGUUGACAUUAUUGAUGGCCGGUGUACCAUUCUGCAGUGCACCUUGUCUCCCCGUCUCUUCCGCUUGCAGCAAGAAAGGACCAGUCUUACAUUUUGCUAGUAAAGGCAGGGGGAAAGCAUUGCAGUCUACAAGCCAAGAGAAAUUGAGGCCCCCACGCCCAUGUGGGAGGGCCGGACUGAGGGAGGAGGCAGGCGGCAUGGAGGAGGACGUGGAGAGCAACGUCAGCAACAUCAGAACUUUUCUGGAAAAAAAGAAACACACAACUGAAAUUACGUGACAGAAUUGAUCAAAAAGGGAGAUAGAAAGACACCCACAAGGGGGGAGAUUACAUAAUUCAUGCAGAUCCACAAAAGUGGCAUCCUGACAUUUUACUAAAAGUCAAAUUCAUAAACAUUGUGUAGAUUUGAAUGUGCACUUUCAAUUAAAUUGUACUAUGUUUGAUGAUG
Oncorhynchus kisutch (coho salmon) is the source of this 3188-nucleotide long non-coding RNA. RefSeq lists it as uncharacterized. The transcript is spliced from 2 exons. NCBI's taxonomy places the organism in Eukaryota, Metazoa, Chordata, Actinopteri, Salmoniformes, Salmonidae. The record is from RefSeq and is a predicted model, not a curated record.